RNAcentral lists this ribosomal RNA (484 nucleotides) under uncultured bacterium. RNAcentral describes it as "bacterial SSU rRNA". It matches the Rfam family "Bacterial small subunit ribosomal RNA", at positions 8 to 521 of the family's 1533-position model. The record is from RNAcentral.
AGAGUUUGAUCCUGGCUCAGGAUGAACGCUGGCGGCGUGCCUAACACAUGCAAGUCGAGCGAACCCUUCGGGGUGAGCGGCGGACGGGUGAGUAACGCGUGGGUAACCUGCCCUAUACACACGGAUAACGUACCGAAAGGUACGCUAAUACGAGAUAACAUAUUUUUAUCGCAUGGUAAAAAUAUCAAAGCUUUUGCGGUAUAGGAUGGACCCGCGUCUGAUUAGCUAGUUGGUAAGGUAAUGGCUUACCAAGGCGACGAUCAGUAGCCGACCUGAGAGGGUGAUCGGCCACAUUGGAACUGAGACACGGUCCAAACUCCUACGGGAGGCAGCAGUGGGGAAUAUUGCACAAUGGGCGAAAGCCUGAUGCAGCAACGCCGCGUGAGCGAUGAAGGCCUUCGGGUCGUAAAGCUCUGUCCUCAAGGAAGAUAAUGACGGUACUUGAGGAGGAAGCCCCGGCUAACUACGUGCCAGCAGCCGCGGU